UUCAGAAUUAUAUUUCACAUUCAAACAUAAUAUUCAUAUAUUAACAAAAAGUCACAUGAUUUCAUUUUCUUAUAUGUCAUAAUCCAUAUGUUAAUUUUACAUCAAAAAGUUACAACAUUGUAAUGACAUUCUAUUAUAUCAUUAUAUCAUCCAAAUAUUACAAAUACAAAAAGUUACCAAAAUAUCAUCAACACAACCAUGAUUUUUAAUGGUUAGUAAG
Molecule: long non-coding RNA, 220 nt
Filed under: Gossypium barbadense (sea-island cotton)
Lineage: Eukaryota; Viridiplantae; Streptophyta; Magnoliopsida; Malvales; Malvaceae
Description: long non-coding RNA (GBAR_LNC022364)
Source: RNAcentral